GAUGAACGCUGGCGGCGUGCUUAACACAUGCAAGUCGAACGGAAAGGCCUCUGCUUGCAGGGGUACUCGAGUGGCGAACGGGUGAGUAACACGUGGGUGAUCUGCCCUGCACUUCGGGAUAAGCCUGGGAAACUGGGUCUAAUACCGGAUAGGACAAUGGUUUGGAUGCUGUUGUGGAAAGUUUUUCGGUGUGGGAUGAGCUCGCGGCCUAUCAGCUUGUUGGUGGGGUAAUGGCCUACCAAGGCGUCGACGGGUAGCCGGCCUGAGAGGGUGUACGGCCACAUUGGGACUGAGAUACGGCCCAGACUCCUACGGGAGGCAGCAGUGGGGAAUAUUGCACAAUGGGCGCAAGCCUGAUGCAGCGACGCCGCGUGGGGGAUGACGGCCUUCGGGUUGUAAACUCCUUUCGCUAGGGACGAAGCGUUUUUGUGACGGUACCUGGAGAAGAAGCACCGGCUAACUACG
RNAcentral lists this ribosomal RNA (465 nucleotides) under uncultured bacterium. RNAcentral's name for it is "partial 16S ribosomal RNA". It matches the Rfam family "Bacterial small subunit ribosomal RNA", at positions 28 to 505 of the family's 1533-position model. The record is from RNAcentral.